GACGAACGCUGGCGGCGUGCUUAACACAUGCAAGUCGAGCGGUAAGGCCCUUUCGGGGGUACACGAGCGGCGAACGGGUGAGUAACACGUGGGUGACCUGCCCUCAGCUCUGGGAUAAGCCUGGGAAACCGGGUCUAAUACUGGAUAUGACUCCAUGACGCAUGUUGUGGGGUGGAAAGCCUUGUGCGGCUGAGGAUGGGCCCGCGGCCUAUCAGCUUGUUGGUGGGGUGANGGCCUACCAAGGCGACGACGGGUAGCCGGCCUGAGAGGGCGACCGGCCACACUGGGACUGAGACACGGCCCAGACUCCUACGGGAGGCAGCAGUGGGGAAUCUUGCGCAAUGGGCGAAAGCCUGGCGCAGCGACGCCGCGUGAGGGAUGACGGCCUGGUGUAACU
This 397-nucleotide ribosomal RNA is filed under the name uncultured bacterium. RNAcentral describes it as "bacterial SSU rRNA". It matches the Rfam family "Bacterial small subunit ribosomal RNA", at positions 28 to 430 of the family's 1533-position model. The record is from RNAcentral.